This 468-nucleotide ribosomal RNA is filed under the name uncultured bacterium. Its description in RNAcentral is "partial 16S ribosomal RNA". It matches the Rfam family "Bacterial small subunit ribosomal RNA", at positions 28 to 507 of the family's 1533-position model. The record is from RNAcentral.
GACGAACGCUGGCGGCGUGCUUAACACAUGCAAGUCGAACGGAAAGGCCCUGCUUUUGUGGGGUGCUCGAGUGGCGAACGGGUGAGUAACACGUGAGUAACCUGCCCUUGACUUUGGGAUAACUUCAGGAAACUGGGGCUAAUACCGGAUAGGAGCUCCUGCUGCAUGGUGGGGGUUGGAAAGUUUCGGCGGUUGGGGAUGGACUCGCGGCUUAUCAGCUUGUUUGUGGGGUAGUGGCUUACCAAGGCUUUGACGGGUAGCCGGCCUGAGAGCGUGACCGGCCACAUUGGGACUGAGAUACGCCCCAGACUCCUACGGGAGGCAGCAGUGGGGAAUAUUGCACAAUGGGCGGGAGCCUGAUGCGGCAGCCCCGCGAGCGGGAUGACCGCCUUCGGGGUGUAAACCGCUUUCGCCUGUGACGAAGCGUGAGUGACGGUAAUGGGUAAAGAAGCACCGGCUAACUACGUG